ACCAACCAAAAUGCAUCUGAACUUCAGAACGGAAAACCUAACACAGUAGCAGAACAGAUACUCAACUGUAAAGACAGUCCACCGAACAAGGGACACUUCAAAAUCCCUAUCAGACAGAAUGAGAGAGAUUUAGGUGCUCGUAAACCUAAAACGAUAAUACUGAGAAACCCCAAGAACUGGAAACAAGCUUUGACGGUUUUAAUUUGGGAUAUGUAUUUACACAUGAAUUACUGAAUUAACCAUCAGCAAGAAAUGUUAUAAUAUAGUAAAUAACGUAAGUUGCAGUGAACUAAGAUUUUAAUAUCAAACAACUGUUAUUAGAAAACAGACUUGAAACAUGAGUUUAACGUUCAGCAGAAACUUACUUUAGUGAUAAUCCUUAUCGAACCAGCAUCCUUCUAGCCUAUCCUCAGCUAGUAAUAUUUAACUUCCUAUUACAAGGAACUUAGGAACAUCUCUUUCUAUUCUUGACUGUCCAAUCAGAGACCAUAGAAAUGAAGACAGCUUUUUUACAAUUUAACUUCUGCAGGAAACAUCGUCUAUUGGUUAAACGUUAGAAGUAUUCUUGAGAUCUACUGAAUCCCACCCAAACCGUUUCGUAACCAGAUCUCAUUGUUACUUAUAAAUAUAAAAGAAACGAAUUUUUACAGAGCUGAAAACUCCCUAUCGGAAAUCUAGAGAACAUCAACCAAAAGGUGGGUUAUUUGCGGUGAAGGAUGAAAACGACACUUGUUGUAGUUCUUGUCGUCUGCUUGUUGUUGGGUUGUUUCAUUCUUCCUGCAGUUGAAGGUCAGAGGAUUAGAAUAUCAGAACAUAGAAGAUAUGGUGGAGGGAUUAGUGGAGGAUAUGAUGGAGAAUAUCGUGGCAAUGGAAGCUAUCAGGGAUAAAUAAAGGAGGUUAUAAACAUCAACAGUUUAAGAUAAUCAGACCAGGAAUUUACAAGAGACUUGUCAUAUUGGAUUAUGUAUUUUAUAAGAAAUGUUUACAGAAACUUGUUAUAUCUGGUGUAGGUUUUAUUUUGUAAAGUAGAAUACUAGACAACCCAUAGAAUAGUUUUACAGUCAAUAAACUGUAAGUGAAUAAACAGUUGUAUACUUCA
Limulus polyphemus (Atlantic horseshoe crab) is the source of this 1099-nucleotide long non-coding RNA. RefSeq lists it as uncharacterized. NCBI's taxonomy places the organism in Eukaryota, Metazoa, Arthropoda, Merostomata, Xiphosura, Limulidae. The record is from RefSeq and is a predicted model, not a curated record. The transcript is spliced from 3 exons.